Molecule: ribosomal RNA, 404 nt
Filed under: Actinomycetes bacterium
Lineage: Bacteria; Bacillati; Actinomycetota; Actinomycetes
Description: Actinobacteria bacterium partial 16S ribosomal RNA
Rfam family: Bacterial small subunit ribosomal RNA
Source: RNAcentral
UGGGGAAUAUUGGACAAUGGGCGCAAGCCUGAUCCAGCCAUGCCGCGUGAGUGAUGAAGGCCCUAGUGUUGUAAAGCUCUUUCACCGGUGAAGAUAAUUACGGUAACCGGAGAAGAAGCCCCGGCUAACUUCGUGCCAGCAACCGCGGUAAUACGAAGGGGGCUAGCGUUGUUCGGAUUUACUGGGCGUAAAGCUCACGUAGGCGGACUAUUAAGUCAGGGGUGAAAUCCCGGGGCUCAACCCCGGAACUGCCUUUGAUACUGGUAGUCUUGAGUUCGAGAGAGGUGCGUGGACUUCCGAGUGUAGAGGUGAACUUCGUAGAUAUUCGGAGGAACUCCAGUAGCGAAGGCGGCUCACUGGCUCGAUACUGACGCUGAGGUGCGAAAGCGUGGGGAGCAAACAGG